GGACCAAGGAGUCUAGCAUGUGCGCGAGUCAUUGGGUUCAUAUAUUAUACCUAAAGGCGAAAUGAAAGUGAAUGUUUACCUUGCGUAAACAGAGGGAAGAUGGGUGACUAAAUAGAAAGUUGCCCCGCAUUCCCGGGGCGUCGCGCACUCAUUGCGAGGUGCGGCGCACCAAGAGCGUACACGCUGGGACCC
Molecule: ribosomal RNA, 192 nt
Filed under: Sinechostictus elongatus
Lineage: Eukaryota; Metazoa; Arthropoda; Insecta; Coleoptera; Carabidae
Description: partial 28S ribosomal RNA
Rfam family: Eukaryotic large subunit ribosomal RNA
Source: RNAcentral